CCUACGGGAGGCAGCAGUGGGGAAUAUUGGGCAAUGGAGGAAACUCUGACCCAGCGACGCCGCGUGCGGGAUGAAGGCCUUCGGGUUGUAAACCGCUUUCAGUAGGGAAGAAGCGAAAGUGACGGUACCUACAGAAGAAGCACCGGCUAACUAUGUGCCAGCAGCCGCGGUAAUACAUAGGGUGCAAGCGUUGUCCGGAAUUAUUGGGCGUAAAGAGCUCGUAGGUGGUUCGUCACGUCGGAUGUGAAAAUCUGGGGCUCAACCCCAGACCUGCAUUCGAUACGGGCGAUCUAGAGUGUGGUAGGGGAGACUGGAAUUCCUGGUGUAGCGGUGGAAUGCGCAGAUAUCAGGAGGAACACCAAUGGCGAAGGCAGGUCUCUGGGCCAUUACUGACACUGAGGAGCGAAAGCGUGGGGAGCGAACAGGAUUAGAUACCCUGGUAGUCCACGCCGUAAACGGUGGGCACUAGUUGUGGGAACCUUCCACGGUUUCUGCGACGCAGCUAACGCAUUAAGUGCCCCGCCUGGGGAGUACGANCGCAGAUAAACUUAAAGUAAGUAGACGCGNGAGAGNGCGACGCGACGACGAGGAGAGG
Molecule: ribosomal RNA, 595 nt
Filed under: uncultured bacterium
Lineage: Bacteria
Description: bacterial SSU rRNA
Rfam family: Bacterial small subunit ribosomal RNA
Source: RNAcentral